CUAGCUUGCUAAGCUUGUUUUUAGUGGCGCACGGGUGAGUAACACGUGAGUUACCUGCCCCCAAGAGUGGGAUAGCCCCGGGAAACUGGGAUUAAUACCGCAUAAUAUCGCAAGAUUAAAGGUGCAAACCGCUUGGGGAUGGGCUCGCGGCCUAUUAGUUAGUUGGUGAGGUAACGGCUCACCAAGGCGAUGACGGGUAGCCGGUCUGAGAGGAUGUCCGGCCACACUGGAACUGAGACACGGUCCAGACACCUACGGGUGGCAGCAGUCGAGAAUCAUUCACAAUGGGGGAAACCCUGAUGGUGCGACGCCGCGUGGGGGAGCGAAGGUCUUCGGAUUGUAAACCCCUGUCAAGUGGGAGCAAAUUAAAAAGAUAGUACCACUAGAGGAAGAGACGGCUAACUCUGUGCCAGCAGCCGCGGUAAUACAGAGGUCUCAAGCGUUGUUCGGAAUCACUGGGCGUAAAGCGUACGUAGGCGGCUUGGUAAGUCGUGUGUGAAAGGCAGGGGCUCAACCUCUGGACUGCACAUGAUACUGCCAGGCUAGAGUAAUGGAGGGGAAACCGGAA
This 568-nucleotide ribosomal RNA is filed under the name uncultured bacterium. RNAcentral's name for it is "bacterial SSU rRNA". It matches the Rfam family "Bacterial small subunit ribosomal RNA", at positions 73 to 666 of the family's 1533-position model. The record is from RNAcentral.